GUCCUCAUAGCUUACAAAUCCCAAAGCACGGCACUGAAGAUGCCAAGACGGUAACCACCAUACCUGAGGACA
RNAcentral lists this transfer RNA (72 nucleotides) under Apteryx australis (Southern brown kiwi). Its description in RNAcentral is "tRNA-Phe". The record is from RNAcentral. RNAcentral also lists the same sequence under 1 other name. Lineage: Eukaryota; Metazoa; Chordata; Aves; Apterygiformes; Apterygidae.